GGUUUUUUGCGAAACCUAUAUAAGUAGGUAAUUUAUAUAACAUCAUAGCAGGUACAGAACUGUGGUCUUGUACAACUUGCAUUAAAAAAGUGCACUUUGUUCAUAUUUGGGGAUCGUGAAGAUCCUACUCGCGAGUAUUUGCACUCGGAAGGGUUAUGAUGACUAUAUAAUAAUCAGACAUAGUACGAUAAGGUAGUAUGUCUAAAGGGAAACAGCCCAGAACAAGAGUUAAUAAGGUUCCAAAAUUAUUGUUAAGUGAAAAUAAGGAAGUUUCAAUCCUAUACGGCCAGGAAAUAGGCUUAGAUGCGGCCAUUUUUUGAAGACCUCGUAACAGAGCACUGGUUUAGUAAAUUAUUUUUAUAAUUUAUAUUGAUAAAAGCACCAAAAAUUUAACGGAUCUAAACAAUAUACCGAGACCUUGUCCAUAUAUAUAUAUAUAUCUAAGUUGUAUAUUGUAUUUAUGGGGUAGCGGAACAUUGGGCAAAUCUAAGAUUUUUUCUUUUUAAGACUUAAGAUAAGAUAACCCAAGUGAUAAUGCUGACAUGAGUAACGAUAAAGGGAAUGAACUAUUCCCUCGCCUAAAGCUUAUGGUAUUUACUUAAAGUAACGGCCUCUAAGUUUAUGAACCUAAAGGACUAAACGAUGAGAAAAUCUACCACUUAGAACAAACAACCUUUGUGCAUAGAUUUAUAUAACUAUAGGUUUUUUGCUAAAGUGACAAGGGUUCUUGAAAAUUUAAGUGGUGCAUCAUGGAUAAUAUGGAGGAGGUAAUCUCCUGCCUACUAUGGUGUAAAAAGACCGUACCUAGAAACUACCCCCAGUAAGUUAGUAGAGAAUACGAAGGCGUUUGAGUGAACAAUCAUUAAAGAACUCGGCCAAACUAA
Molecule: ribosomal RNA, 884 nt
Filed under: Umbilicaria pulvinaria
Lineage: Eukaryota; Fungi; Ascomycota; Lecanoromycetes; Umbilicariales; Umbilicariaceae
Description: partial large subunit ribosomal RNA
Rfam family: Bacterial large subunit ribosomal RNA
Source: RNAcentral